GGUACUCGAGCGGCGAACGGGUGAGUAACACGUGAGUAACCUGCCCCAGGCUUUGGGAUAACCCUCGGAAACGGGGGCUAAUACCGGAUAUGACCUUUGGACGCAUGUCUUUUGGUGGAAAGUUUUUCGGCCUGGGAUGGGCUCGCGGCCUAUCAGCUUGUUGGUGGGGUGAUGGCCUACCAAGGCGACGACGGGUAGCCGGCCUGAGAGGGCGACCGGCCACACUGGGACUGAGACACGGCCCAGACUCCUACGGGAGGCAGCAGUGGGGAAUAUUGCACAAUGGGCGGAAGCCUGAUGCAGCGACGCCGCGUGAGGGAUGACGGCCUUCGGGUUGUAAACCUCUUUCAGCAGGGACGAAGCGUAAGUGACGGUACCUGCAGAAGAAGCGCCGGCCAACUACGUGCCAGCAGCCGCGGUAAGACGUAGGGCGCGAGCGUUGUCCGGAUUUAUUGGGCGUAAAGAGCUCGUAGGCGGCUUGUCGCGUCGACCGUGAAAACUUGGGGCUCAACCCCAAGCCUGCGGUCGAUACGGGCAGGCUAGAGUUCGGUAGGGGAGACUGCAAUUCCUGGUGUAGCGGUGAAAUGCGCAG
RNAcentral lists this ribosomal RNA (592 nucleotides) under uncultured Micromonospora sp. RNAcentral describes it as "bacterial SSU rRNA". It matches the Rfam family "Bacterial small subunit ribosomal RNA", at positions 86 to 693 of the family's 1533-position model. The record is from RNAcentral. Lineage: Bacteria; Bacillati; Actinomycetota; Actinomycetes; Micromonosporales; Micromonosporaceae.